CCUACGGGUGGCAGCAGUGAGGAAUAUUGGUCAAUGGACGAGAGUCUGAACCAGCCAAGUCGCGUGAAGGAUGACUGCCCUAUGGGUUGUAAACUUCUUUUAUAUGGGAAUAAAAUGUUCCACGUGUGGGAUUUUGUCUGUACCAUAUGAAUAAGGAUCGGCUAACUUCGUGCCAGCAGCCGCGGUAAUACGGAGGAUCCGAGCGUUAUCCGGAUUUAUUGGGUGUAAAGGGAGCGUAGGUGGAUUGUUAAGUCAGAUGUGAAAGUUUGCGGCUCAACCGUAAAAUUGCAGUUGAAACUGGCAGGCUUGAGUGCAGUAGAGGUGGGCGGAAUUCGUGGUGUAGCGGUGAAAUGCUUAGAUAUCACGAGGAACUCCGAUUGCGAAGGCAGCUCACUGGACUGCAACUGACACUGAGGCUCGAAAGUGUGGGGAUCAAACAGGAUUAGAUACCCUUGUAGUC
This 460-nucleotide ribosomal RNA is filed under the name uncultured bacterium. RNAcentral describes it as "partial 16S ribosomal RNA". It matches the Rfam family "Bacterial small subunit ribosomal RNA", at positions 338 to 795 of the family's 1533-position model. The record is from RNAcentral.